GACGAACGCUGGCGGCGUGCUUAACACAUGCAAGUCGAACGGAAAGGCCCUGCUUUUGUGGGGUGCUCGAGUGGCGAACGGGUGAGUAACACGUGAGUAACCUGCCCUUGACUUUGGGAUAACUUCAGGAAACUGGGGCUAAUACCGGAUAGGAGCUCCUGCUGCAUGGUGGUGGUUGGAAAGUUUCGGCGGUUGGGGAUGGACUCGCGGCUUAUCAGCUUGUUGGUGGGGUAGUGGCUUACCAAGGCUUUGACGGGUAGCCGGCCUGAGAGGGUGACCGGCCACAUUGGGACUGAGAUACGGCACAGACUCCUACGGGAGGCAGCAGUGGGGAAUAUUGCACAAUGGGCGGAAGCCUGAUGCAGCAACGCCGCGUGCGGGAUGACGGCCUUCGGGUUGUAAACCGCUUUCGCCUGUGACGAAGCGUGAGUGACGGUAAUGGGUAAAGAAGCACCGGCUAACUACGUG
This 468-nucleotide ribosomal RNA is filed under the name uncultured bacterium. RNAcentral describes it as "partial 16S ribosomal RNA". It matches the Rfam family "Bacterial small subunit ribosomal RNA", at positions 28 to 507 of the family's 1533-position model. The record is from RNAcentral.